GGAGUCGUCGCAUAGCCCGGUCGAGUGCGCCUCACUGCUAAUGAGGUAAGGAUCUAAAGUCCUUCGGAGGUUCAAAUCCUCUCGACUCCG
This 90-nucleotide transfer RNA is filed under the name Rhodoluna sp. RNAcentral describes it as "tRNA-Ser". It matches the Rfam family "tRNA". Rfam says of the family: Transfer RNA (tRNA) molecules are approximately 80 nucleotides in length. Their secondary structure includes four short double-helical elements and three loops (D, anti-codon, and T loops). Lineage: Bacteria; Bacillati; Actinomycetota; Actinomycetes; Micrococcales; Microbacteriaceae. The record is from RNAcentral. RNAcentral also lists the same sequence under 2 other names.